GGUGAAUAAGGGGUGGGCAAGUUCUGGUGUCAGCCGCCGCGGUAAAACCAGCACCUCAAGUGGUCAGGAUGAUUAUUGGGCCUAAAGCAUCCGUAGCCGGCUUUGUUAGUUUUCGGUUAAAUCCAUGUGCUCAACACAUGGGCUGCCGAAAAUACUGCAGGGCUAGGGAGUGGGAGAGGUAGACGGUACUCGGUAGGAAGGGGUAAAAUCCUUUGAUCUAUUGAUGACCACCUGUGGCGAAGGCGGUCUACCAGAACACGUUCGACGGUGAGGGAUGAAAGCUGGGGGAGCAAACCGGAUUAGAUACCCGGGUAGUCCCAGCUGUAAACGAUGCAGACUCGAUGAUGCAUUGGCUUAUAGCCAGUGCAGUGUCGCAGGGAAGCCGUUAAGUCUGCCGCCUGGGAAGUACGUACGCAAGUAUGAAACUUAAAGGAAUUGGCGGGGGAGCACCACAAGGGGUGAAGCCUGCGGUUCAAUUGGAGUCAACGCCAGAAAUCUUACCCGGAGAGACAGCAGAAUGAAGGUCAAGCUGAAGACUUUACCAGACAAGCUGAGAGGUGGUGCAUGGCCGUCGCCAGCUCGUGCCGUGAGAUGUCCUGUUAAGUCAGGUAACGAGCGAGAUCCCUGCCACUAGUUGCUAUCAUUAUUCUCAGGAAUAGUGGGGCGAAUUAGUGGGACUGCCGUUGUUAAAACGGAGGAAGGAAGGGGCUACGGCAGGUCAGUAUGCCCCGAAACUCUGGGGCCACACGCGGGCUGCAAUGGUAGUGACAAUGGGUUCCGAACCUGAAAGGGAGAGGCAAUCCCCAAACACUACCACAGUUAUGACUGAGGGCUGUAACUCGCCCUCACGAAUAUGGAAUCCCUAGUAACUGCGUGUCAUUAUCGCGCGGUGAAUACGUCCCUGCUCCUUGCACACACCGCCCGUCGUUUCAUCGAAGUUUGCUUUUAGCGAGGUGAUGUUUAAUUGGCAUUAUCGAACUUGAGGUAAGCAACGAGGGAAAAGUCGUAACAAGGUAGCCGUA
This 1022-nucleotide ribosomal RNA is filed under the name uncultured Nitrososphaerota archaeon. RNAcentral's name for it is "bacterial SSU rRNA". It matches the Rfam family "Archaeal small subunit ribosomal RNA", at positions 430 to 1451 of the family's 1478-position model. The record is from RNAcentral. Lineage: Archaea; Thermoproteati; Nitrososphaerota.